Molecule: ribosomal RNA, 253 nt
Filed under: uncultured bacterium
Lineage: Bacteria
Description: partial 16S ribosomal RNA
Rfam family: Bacterial small subunit ribosomal RNA
Source: RNAcentral
UACGAAGGGGGCUAGCGUUGUUCGGAAUCACUGGGCGUAAAGGGCGCGUAGGCGGCUUUAUAAGUCGGGGGUGAAAGCCUGUGGCUCAACCACAGAAUUGCCUUCGAUACUGUAGAGCUUGAGACCGGAAGAGGUAAGUGGAACUGCGAGUGUAGAGGUGAAAUGCGUAGAUAUCUGGAGGAACACCGGUGGCGAAGGCGGCAUCCUGGACCGGUAUUGACGCUGAGGCGCGAAAGCCAGGGGAGCAAACGGG